CCCCAGACUCCUACGGGAGGCAGCAGUGAGGAAUAUUGGUCAAUGGUCGGGAGACUGAACCAGCCAAGCCGCGUGAGGGAGGAAGGUACAGAGUAUCGUAAACCUCUUUUGUCAGGGAACAAAGGCGGGGACGUGUCCCCGGAUGAGUGUACCUGAAGAAAAAGCAUCGGCUAACUCCGUGCCAGCAGCCGCGGUAAUACGGAGGAUGCGAGCGUUAUCCGGAUUUAUUGGGUUUAAAGGGUGCGCAGGCGGAAUGUCAAGUCAGCGGUAAAAUUUCGGGGCUCAACCCCGUCGUGCCGUUGAAACUGGCGUUCUUGAGUGAGCGAGAAGUAUGCGGAAUGCGUGGUGUAGCGGUGAAAUGCAUAGAUAUCACGCAGAACUCCGAUUGCGAAGGCAGCGUGCCGUGCCGCCACUGACGCUGAGGCACGAAAGCGCGGGGAUCGAACAGGAUUAGAUACCCCGGUAA
Molecule: ribosomal RNA, 466 nt
Filed under: uncultured bacterium
Lineage: Bacteria
Description: bacterial SSU rRNA
Rfam family: Bacterial small subunit ribosomal RNA
Source: RNAcentral